Long non-coding RNA from Zalophus californianus (California sea lion), 617 nucleotides. RefSeq lists it as uncharacterized. Lineage: Eukaryota; Metazoa; Chordata; Mammalia; Carnivora; Otariidae. The transcript is spliced from 3 exons. The record is from RefSeq and is a predicted model, not a curated record.
CCAUGGUGAUGGCAAAUAAGCCUCAACUGCCUCAGCUACAACUGCCAAGUUUCCCGCGUUCCACCCCCCUCUGGGUGCUCAGAGGGACGAUCGAAGUGCCGGAUGUGAAGAGCGGGAGCGUGGAGACUCGGAGCCCGAGCCACAAAAGAUUGCACACAAACUGGUUUGAUGCUCUCCUGACCAGUGUCCCUUCUCUGAUGCUUGGUCCUGAAGGCAGUGGAAGCCAAACUUACCCUGGCGCUGUCUGCUGAGCUGUGCAGAAUUUCCAACAUUGAAGAUGGAGCAUCAGCCAGUUGCCGUGUUGAGACGCUCUCCUGGCCAGGAAAUGAGGCGCCUGCCAAUAGUCGUGUGGUGUGCCAUCCUGGAAUUGGAUCCUUGAGCCCUGGCCAAGCCUUCAGGUGACUGCAGCCUGGCUGAGAGUUGCAGUGCCACCUCAAGAGAAAGCCUGAGCCAGAACUGCACAGAUGAGCUGCUCCUGACUCUCAGAAAUGGUGUGAGAUAAACAUUUGUUGUUUUAAGCCACCAGAUUAUGGGUUAUUUGUUAUGUAACAACUAAUAAACUGCUUGCGAAUUUGUGAGUCUGUAGCAAUUUCCUAAGAACUAUAUUGGAAAGGACA